Molecule: ribosomal RNA, 253 nt
Filed under: uncultured bacterium
Lineage: Bacteria
Description: partial 16S ribosomal RNA
Rfam family: Bacterial small subunit ribosomal RNA
Source: RNAcentral
UACGUAGGGGGCAAGCGUUGUCCGGAUUUAUUGGGCGUAAAGAGCGUGUAGGCGGCCAGGGAGGUCCGUUGUGAAAACUCGAGGCUCAACCUCGAGACGCCGAUGGAAACCCCCUGGCUAGAGUCCGGAAGAGGAGAGUGGAGUUCCUGGUGUAGCGGUGAAAUGCGCAGAUAUCAGGAAGAACACCCGUGGCUAAGGCGGCUCUCUAGUACGGUACUGACGCUGAGACGCGAAAGCGUGGGGAGCGAACAGG